AUGAUUGCUUAUAUAACAAAUUUUAAAACAUUAUAAAACAGAUGGACAACAGAGGGAAAAGAUCGUCGAAAAAUUAAGACUAGUUUCGUUAGAUGCCAAGAAGUAUAAGAACAUACGAACAAGCUAUGUUCGUUGUCUUAAAAAAAAAUAAAAAAGUUCCAUCUGGCUAUGGAAGAGACGCUGAGCCCAAACCUAGGAAGUUUGUCCAUUUGGAGUGGCUAAAUCAGUAUAUCAGUCACAGGAAUAGCUCAUCAAACCUGCCCAACAACGAAAGCGACGAAGCAGAGAAGCAACGCCGGGACUAACGAGCAAUGGAGAUCUACAAGAGAUACUUUCAAAAAAGACAUCAUUCUUCGUCGAAGAAGCGACCAUGGGUGCUUGAUAUUUGGCUUUUUUUUUUCUUACACUGGAAUACACACUAUAUUCGCCAGUCAAGACAUGAAACAAUAGUUGGAACCUUUGUCAGAAAAUAGUAUUCAAAUGCAUUCAACAUAAAAUAUUGUAGAAGGUUAGAAAAUGAUUUGAUGAAGUAUGAAAAGUGACCAUGGGUGUAUAAAACAUCAAUCACACACAAUUUUGGUCAGAGUGGCAAAUACUGUUUCCGGAUCGAAAUUUGCUGCCAAGAAAAUUAUGCAGAACUUGUACUAACUAUAGUGAAGGAAAAUUAUUUUUGUAGUUGAAUUAAGUUGAACAGAAUUUUUUAAAAAAAGUCAUUAAAUUCAGUGUCCAAAUUCUGUAA
This is a long non-coding RNA of Xenia sp. Carnegie-2017, 739 nucleotides long. RefSeq lists it as uncharacterized. Lineage: Eukaryota; Metazoa; Cnidaria; Anthozoa; Malacalcyonacea; Xeniidae. The record is from RefSeq and is a predicted model, not a curated record. The transcript is spliced from 2 exons.